UACGUAGGGGCCUAGCGUUGUCCGGAUUUAUUGGGCGUAAAGAGCUCGUAGGCGGUUCGGCAAGUCGGAUGUGAAAUCUCCACGCUCAACGUGGAGGGGCCAUUCGAAACUGCCGUGACUCGAGUCCGGUAGGGGAGUGUGGAAUUCCCGGUGUAGCGGUGAAAUGCGCAGAUAUCAGGAGGAACGCCGGUGGCGAAAGCGAUCGUCUGGAGUGCAUGUGACGCUGAGGCGCGAAAGCUAGGGGAGCAAACGGG
Molecule: ribosomal RNA, 254 nt
Filed under: uncultured bacterium
Lineage: Bacteria
Description: partial 16S ribosomal RNA
Rfam family: Bacterial small subunit ribosomal RNA
Source: RNAcentral